RNAcentral lists this ribosomal RNA (395 nucleotides) under uncultured bacterium. RNAcentral describes it as "partial 16S ribosomal RNA". It matches the Rfam family "Bacterial small subunit ribosomal RNA", at positions 338 to 730 of the family's 1533-position model. The record is from RNAcentral.
CCUACGGGUGGCAGCAGUGAGGAAUAUUGGUCAAUGGCCGUAAGGCUGAACCAGCCACGUCGCGUGAAGGAUGAAGGUUCUAUGAUUUGUAAACUCCUUUUAUAGGGGAAUACAGUUAUCCCCGUGUUGAUAUUUGCAUGUACCCUAUGAAUAAGCAUCGGCUAACUCCGUGCCAGCAGCCGCGGUACUACGGAGGGUGCGAGCGUUCUCCGGAUUUAUUGGGUUUAAAGGGUGCGUAGGUGGUUUGUUAAGUCAUCGUGGAAAGUUUGGGGCUCAACCAUGAAAUUGCCGUUGAAACUGGAAGACUUGAGUGUGUUUGAGGAAGGCGGAAUGCGGGGUGUAGGGGUGAAAUGCAUAGAUAUCACGAAGAACACCGAUGGCGAAGGCAGCUAACU